GGUGGGUUCCCGAGCACUAAAGGGAGCAGACUGUAAAUCUGCCGUCAUCGACUUCGAAGGUUCGAAUCCUUCCCCCACCACCA
This 83-nucleotide transfer RNA is filed under the name Escherichia coli. RNAcentral's name for it is "tRNA-Tyr". It matches the Rfam family "tRNA". Rfam says of the family: Transfer RNA (tRNA) molecules are approximately 80 nucleotides in length. Their secondary structure includes four short double-helical elements and three loops (D, anti-codon, and T loops). Lineage: Bacteria; Pseudomonadati; Pseudomonadota; Gammaproteobacteria; Enterobacterales; Enterobacteriaceae. The record is from RNAcentral.